AGCGAACGCUGGCGGCGUGCUUAACACAUGCAAGUCGAGUGCGCGUUUCUGUAGCAAUACGGGAAUGGCGCACGGCGCACGGGUGCGUAACACGUGGGUAAUCUGCCCUUCGAUGGGGAAUAACCCCGGGAAACCGGGGCUAACUUCCGCAUAACAUUCCGGGAACCUCGGUUCUUGGAUUCAAAGGCGUAAGUCGUCGGAGGAGGAGCCCGCGCACGAUUAGCUAGUUGGUAGGGUAACGGCCUACCAAGGCUUUGAUCGUUAGCUGGU
RNAcentral lists this ribosomal RNA (270 nucleotides) under uncultured bacterium. RNAcentral describes it as "partial 16S ribosomal RNA". It matches the Rfam family "Bacterial small subunit ribosomal RNA", at positions 29 to 291 of the family's 1533-position model. The record is from RNAcentral.